This 1144-nucleotide ribosomal RNA is filed under the name Sodalis-like symbiont of Philaenus spumarius. RNAcentral's name for it is "bacterial LSU rRNA". It matches the Rfam family "Bacterial large subunit ribosomal RNA", at positions 1 to 1753 of the family's 2925-position model. The record is from RNAcentral. Lineage: Bacteria; Pseudomonadati; Pseudomonadota; Gammaproteobacteria; Enterobacterales; Bruguierivoracaceae.
AGGGUUGUGAGGUUAAGUGACUAAGCGUACACGGUGGAUGCCUAGGCAGUCAGAGGCGAUGAAGGACGUGCCGAAAAGCGCCGGUAAGCUGAUAUGAAGCGUUAUCAGCCGGCGAUGUCCGAAUGGGGAAACCCGGUGCAACUCGUUGCAUCAUCGUUAAGUGAAUAAAUAGCUGAACGAGGCGAACCAGGGGAACUGAAACAUCUCAGUACCCUGAGGAAAAGAAAUCAACCGAGAUUCCCCCAGUAGCGGCGAGCCAAGCAGUGGGAGCAUCCUUCGGUGUGUAACUGCGUACCUUUUGUAUAAUGGGUCAGCGACUUAUAUUCUGUAGCAAGGUUAACCAUAUAGGGGAGCCGUAGGGAAACCGAGUCUUAACUGGGCAUCUAGUUGCAGGGUAUAGACCCGAAACCCAACAACCCAGACCGCCAGCUAAGGUCCCAAAGUCAUAGUUAAGUGGGAAACGAUGUGGGAAGGCCCAGACAGCCAGGAUGUUGGCUUAGAAGCAGUCAUCAUUUAAAGAAAGCGUAAUAGCUCACUGGUCUAGUCGGCCUGCGCGGAAGAUGUAACGGGGCUAAACUAUGCACCGAAGCUGCGGCAGCGACACGUAAGUGUUGUUGGGUAGGCGAGCGUUCUGUAAGCCUGCGAAGGUGGCCUGUAAGGGUCGCUGGAGGUAUCAGAAGUGCGAAUGCUGACAUAAGUAACGAUAAAGCGGGUGAAAAGCCCGCUCGCCGGAAGACUAAGGGUUCCUGUUCAACGUUAAUCGUAGCAGGGUAAGUCGACCCCUAAGGCGAGGCCGAAAGGCGUAGUCGAUGGAAAACAGGUCAAUAUUCCUGUACUAGGUGUGACUGCGAAGGGGGGACGGAGAAAGCUAGGUUCGCAGGGCGACGGUUGUCCCUGUUUAAGCGGGUAGGUGGAAAGAGCAGGCAAAUCCGCUCUUUCAUAACACUGAGGCGUGAUGACGAGCCACCACGGUGGUGAAGGAAUUGAUGCUAUGCUUCCAAGAAAAGCCUCUAAGCGCCAAGUCACAUCGAAUCGUACCCCAAACCGACACAGGUGGUCAGGUAGAGAAUACCCAGGCGCUUGAGAGAACUCGGGUGAAGGAACUAGGCAAAAUGGUGCCGUAACUUCGGGAGAAGGCACGCUG